Molecule: non-coding RNA, 21 nt
Organism: Caenorhabditis elegans
Lineage: Eukaryota; Metazoa; Nematoda; Chromadorea; Rhabditida; Rhabditidae
Source: Ensembl
UGAUGAUGAUAAAAAACACCA